AUUGAACGCUGGCGGCAGGCCUAACACAUGCAAGUCGAACGAGUGGCGGACGGGUGAGUAAUGUCUGGGAAACUGCCUGAUGGAGGGGGAUAACUACUGGAAACGGUAGCUAAUACCGCAUACCAUCAGCUGUUCCCAGAUGGGAUUAGCUAGUUGGGGGGGUAACGGCUCACAAAGGCGCAGAUCCCUAGCUGGUCUGAGAGGAUGACCAGCCACACGUGAACUGAGACACGGUCCAGAGUCCUACGGGAGGCAGCAAUGGGGAAUAUUGCACAAAGGGCGCAAGCCUGAUGCAGCCAUGCCGCGUGUAUGAAGAAGGCCUUCGGGGUGGAAAGUACUUUCAGCGGGGAGGCGUGACCCGCAGAAGAAGCACCGGCUAACUCCGUGCCAGCAGCCGCGGUAAUUC
RNAcentral lists this ribosomal RNA (406 nucleotides) under uncultured bacterium. RNAcentral's name for it is "partial 16S ribosomal RNA". It matches the Rfam family "Bacterial small subunit ribosomal RNA", at positions 30 to 526 of the family's 1533-position model. The record is from RNAcentral.